GUCUUUAGAGGCGUAUGAAUACCCCCAUCCGCGAGACUGAGCAAGCAAGUCUGAUUUCAAGUCCUUCGCCAACACCCGUGAAUUGUCAUGAUCCAGCAAGUCUGUCCAAUGUAUCAACAAUUCCAAACCUCAUGUUUCGUUAUAGCGAGUUGCUAAGACAAAGUGAGUUUGUACCAAAAUCUCUACGACAUCCUCACUUACUGGAGGUAAUGUUGAAACUUGAUGAUGAGGCCCAAAACUUUCCAUCACUAGUACUUCGGGAGUUAAAAAAAAAAAAUUCAAUUUAUCAAGUUAAUUUUACUUCAGUGAUGGAUAUAGAAAAAUAGAUGAAUGUAGAUCCUCCGGUUCAUGAGGUUUGGCAAUAAGAUAUGGAUUCAAAGGAGCUAAAUAGAAUACUAGCUAUGCGUGUACUACAAUAUCAUCACAAAAAUUGUUAUUAAAUUCUUAAAAAAAACAGAUUGGUCCAUCU
RNAcentral lists this long non-coding RNA (469 nucleotides) under Brassica napus (rape). RNAcentral's name for it is "long non-coding RNA (BNAP_LNC009677)". The record is from RNAcentral. Lineage: Eukaryota; Viridiplantae; Streptophyta; Magnoliopsida; Brassicales; Brassicaceae.